This 1140-nucleotide long non-coding RNA is filed under the name Homo sapiens (human). RNAcentral's name for it is "novel transcript". The record is from RNAcentral. Lineage: Eukaryota; Metazoa; Chordata; Mammalia; Primates; Hominidae.
UGAACGCCGGGUGAGCUACCCGGAUGGCUCUUCCGGUUCUUUGUGCGGCCUUCACCCAGUGAGGGAGCCUGUGCCCCCUGCCCAGUCGCUUUCGGGGCGCUGAGGAGCUUCCGCUGCCAUCUUCGGAUGCUGUGUCCCGCACGGAGGGUCCACCAGGGCAGGGAUAGUGGUUCAAACAAUACAGAAGUGUAUAAAGUAAGAAUUGAAAGUCUCUUCGCUGCUCUAAUCUCACUCCUCAGAGGUGAUCACUGGACCUGAGUGAGCAGAAGGCUUUUCAGAAUUACAGCCUGAACUAUUUCUUGAGCAAUUUGGGAACUCAUUUCUAAAGCAGUCCUCAGAUUCACACAACGUAGUUUGUGACGGAGUAUGCCCAGAGCAGUGUGGAAGAUGAUCAAAGUAUGACAUUUCUUCUACCCCAGAGGCUGGCAUUUCUGCAGGCACAAAUGAGCUUGGUUUUCAAGCACUGCUCUUUGAACACAAGGAAUUCCUUUAAUGAUCACGCCGGACUAUAUAGACUUUGGAAUCAGACUCUUUGAAUUCCAGCUCUGCCAUUUACCAACUUUGACACUUUGGACAACGUCUCAUUCUGUCACCCAGGCUGGAGUGCAGUGGCACAAUUAUAGCUCACUGCAGCCUCAAACACCUGGGCUCAAGCAAUCCUUCCACCUCUGCCUCCUGAGUAAUUGGGACUACAGGCAUGUGCCACCACACCCAGCUAAUUUUUAAUUUUUAAUUUUUUUGUAGAGAUGGCGGUCUUGCUAUGUCACCCAGGCUGGUCUUGAACACCUGGCCUCAAGUGAUCCUCCGGCCUUGGUCUCUCAAAGCUCUGGGAUUACAGACAUGAGCCACUGCACCCGGCUCUAUCUCCCCUUCCUAUGUGUGUUAGCUCUAGAACAAGAGAAGCCUUGUUGAGAUUCCUGGCUGCCCACCCCCCAUCACCUCUCUGACUUUGGGCAAGUUGCCUGGCCUCUCUCAGCCUUUAUUUUCUUUUUGUGAAAUGGGGAUAAUAAUAGUACUUGCCUCAUAGGCAAAAUGUUGUGAGAACUAAACGAGAAAAUGCAUGUAAAGCACUUGGCACUUAGUUCUUUUUAUGAUUAUAAUGAUAAUCAGACACAAUAAAUUAUGUCUCACAUCACAUGC